UAGAAAAGGAAUAAAGAGGUUUGGGCAGU
RNAcentral lists this non-coding RNA (29 nucleotides) under Mus musculus (house mouse). The record is from RNAcentral. Lineage: Eukaryota; Metazoa; Chordata; Mammalia; Rodentia; Muridae.